This 253-nucleotide ribosomal RNA is filed under the name uncultured bacterium. RNAcentral describes it as "partial 16S ribosomal RNA". It matches the Rfam family "Bacterial small subunit ribosomal RNA", at positions 524 to 776 of the family's 1533-position model. The record is from RNAcentral.
UACAGAGGUCUCAAGCGUUGUUCGGAUUCAUUGGGCGUAAAGGGUGCGUAGGUGGCGCGCUAAGUCAGGGGUGAAAUCCUGGAGCUCAACUCCAGAACUGCCUUUGAUACUGGCGAUCUCGAGUCCGGGAGAGGUGAGUGGAACUGCGAGUGUAGAGGUGAAAUUCGUAGAUAUUCGCAAGAACACCAGUGGCGAAGGCGGCUCACUGGCCCGGUACUGACGCUGAGGUGCGAAAGCGUGGGGAGCAAACAGG